CCCUUAGAUGUUCUGGGCUGCACGCGCGCUACACUGAUGCACUCAACGAGUUUACGACCUUGCCCGAUAGGGUUGGGUAAUCUUUUUAAAAUGCAUCGUGAUGGGGAUAGAUUAUUGCAAUUAUUAAUCUUCAACGAGGAAUUCCUAGUAAGCGCGAGUCAUCAGCUCGUGCUGAUUACGUCCCUGCCCUUUGUACACACCGCCCGUCGCUCCUACCGAUUGAGUGCUCAGGUGAAUAAUUCGGACUGCAGCAAUGUUUGGAUCCCGAACGUUGCAGCGGAAAGUUUAGUGAACCUUNUNACUUAANGGAAGGAGAANUCGUANCA
This 326-nucleotide ribosomal RNA is filed under the name uncultured eukaryote. RNAcentral's name for it is "partial 18S ribosomal RNA". It matches the Rfam family "Eukaryotic small subunit ribosomal RNA", at positions 1470 to 1796 of the family's 1831-position model. The record is from RNAcentral.